RNA transcript from Lycium ferocissimum, 3304 nucleotides. It is a transcript of the gene named ferric reduction oxidase 5-like, with no coding region annotated. The transcript is spliced from 3 exons. The record is from RefSeq and is a predicted model, not a curated record. Lineage: Eukaryota; Viridiplantae; Streptophyta; Magnoliopsida; Solanales; Solanaceae.
UUGCCCUACCGUUUUAUAAUAGAUCUAUCCCGUGACCUACUUUUCUUCAAAUUGCUAAUGUGUGACAUAAUGUAACAAAAUGAUACCAUCUAUCCAAAGGUUGUUUUCAUCAAAACAAUACUUACAUUAUGAAAUGAUAUGUAACAAUCAUCCAAACAAGGUGUGCAGGUACCCCGACUUUUUUACUUUUCCUCUUCCAACUGGUUCUUUACUAUUCUGGAGCCUUGAGAGUCUGCCGUUUAAGUUCUGGUUUGUUUCAUCCUGAUGCCUCUUCGCACCAUUGGCGAUUGUGAAGGGACUCAGGGAGACGUACGCGAGCGGGGAGACGAAGGAGUACGUGUGGAGAGUGUCACAGUUGAAAGAUCUGUUGAAGAUUGCUGAGCAUCACGAGAAGGAGAUGGUCGAUGCUAUUAAUUAGAGCCGAGAUGUCUAAGCCUGAACUUGAAUCCUUUCCUCCAAACAUACAGUCUAAUGAAUUGCUUUCUUUUCUUCUUGAUUUACAGCUUUUCUUCAACUUUUUUAGUUGCGGAUAUAUACUACUGAUGGUUAUGCUGGUAUGUUUUGUUUCAUCUUCUGAGUUUCAAGUUUCACUUUAUGUAGUGGUAAUUGCAUGUUCUUGUGUGUGUUCAGCAUUUCAGACUUCUCUGAGUAUCGCUCUUUUAUUAACUUCAUUUUUUUCCCUUAGCUUCUUCGCAUUGAGGAGACGUCAACUUCCUAAAAAUCCAUGCCCUCUUUUGAAUGGCGCAUCAAGUUUUGUUUGAUCAUUUUUGAAAUAUCAGUCUCUCUGUUUAGAAUAGUCUUAUUGUUUACUAAUAGGUUUCUUCUAUUUAUUAAUCACCUUGAUCAUAUCUAAUCUUAUUUACUACUCUUGGUUUGCUGGUUGGAUUAAUGGGUAACAAGUAACAACUUUCCCAGCAGUAAGAAGAAGAAUGUUUGAACUCUUCUUCUACACUAUUUAUACAUCCUAUUCAUGGCUUUCUUCCUACUCCACACUAGAAUGUUCGAUGCCUGCAUUAUGCUUCCUGGUUUCUUCCUCUUCUUGAUCGAUCGAUACUUGAGAUUUUUGCAAUCCAAACAAAAUGUAUAUCUGAUUUCAGCCAGAGUUUUGACUUGUGAAAUUGUUGAACUCAACUUCUCCAAAAUACCAAGUUAGCCAGCCUACAAUUCUGCCUUUUAUUUCCAGGUAACUUGUUAUCUCACUUUUUAUGGAUGAUUACUUCUUGUUCUAAUUUGUAGGUUUGGAGUACUCUCCGACAAGCGUCAUGUUCCUAAAUGUGCCAAGCAUAUUAAAGCUGCAGUUGGCAUCCAUUCACAGUAACUUAGAAUCAGAUACAAUUAGUGUCGUCAUCAAAUGUGAAGGAAGUUGGACUAAGAAGCUUUAUGAUGUUAUCUCUUUGCCUUCCUCUGUGGAUCACCUUGAAGUUUCUGUUGAAGGACCCUAUGGACAUCCUUCCACCCAUUUCCUAAGGAAUAUUGCUAGAAGUUAAUGUGUCAAGUGUUGGAGUACUUGCCUCUGGACCGAAGACCUUGAGGGACGAUGUAGCAGCCAUUUGCUCAUCUGCGUUGGUUGAAAAUCUGCACUUUGAGUCCAUCAGCUUCACCUAAUGAUUAACUCGGCUUCUCAACUCCGAGCUAGCUUAAAAAGACUCUGUCAGAAUGCAUCAGUAUCUAUACAUAGAUAUUAUGUCCUGUAAUAUGUUCCAGUCUUCUGAUUGGAUCGAUAUGCAUGUUUAAAUAGGUAUUGUGAGUAUGGUUCCCCGAGAUUACAUUACUUUUUGUCGAAUGCCAUAUGUAAGGUAUUGUAAGUAGUCUUUGGAAGAGGAAAUAAGGUUCAUGGUAUUUGAAUGAAACCUGUAUUUGUUUGAGAAGCUAGACUAAACUAUGACCAUCUCACACCCAACUUAUUACAUAUUGAUGUAUAAGCUAUAAACCAAACUAAAACUCUUUUUUUUUUUUUUUUUUUUUUUUUUAACAAGGUAAAACAAACAAAAACUCCAAGUGCUAUAACUUUUACUAUAAGACUAGGUCUUAAACUUCCAAGUUUCCCAGUCUUGUCUUCCAUCAACAAAUCCCAAUACCCUCCUGCAAUAACAUUUGGUGCUACGCCUCUUCCUUUCAUUGCAAAGCUUAACACAUCUUCUAAAAGUACAUGUGCAUUCUGCAGUACCUUAGAGAUACAAAGCCUACUUACUGUAUAUUACAAUCACAAGAAUCAAUCUGGGGUUAUGUGAGAUUCAAGAAUUCUGAAACAUGAAAUUUUCAGCUUUGUUUGUCCAUGUAAUGAAAUGCUCAAAAUCUACGUAUACUCUUUUAUCUUUCAGAAGAUCAAAAUCGUACAUCCAAGAGAUGCGCCUUUCAUUACAAUCACCACCCACACCCUCAAUGGAGCAGCUAAAAUCGGCACCAACUGUAAAUCAAGAACCACACCCUCAGUGAGGUCUCAGGUUCAAACCCAACACUAGUUGAUUUCUUCUCAUCUCUCUAAGCCUUGUGGACAGAUUUACCUGGUAUCUGUUGUUGCUGGUGGGAGGUGGCAAGUAUCUUGUGAAAUUAGUCGAGGUGCGUAUAAGCUGGGCCGGACACCACGAUUAUAAGAAAAAAAAAAUGGAAAACGUGAUGCAGUAGUGCACAAAAUCUUCUAUGUUCUCUAUUUAUCCCAAUAUAGUGGGAAAUAUUUAUGCUGAUUUCAAGUUGGCAGCAGAAGAUCUCACUGGAAGCUCUUUAACCAUUUCUAGCAAAGUUGUUAACGGGCUCUUUGCAUCCAGAUAGCUCAUAAGUGGAUGAAAGUUUUUCUUCCAAACUUUCAAGCAAGUCAUGGUAUUCGACAAAUGAUGGAUGGGUCUGAAGAUACAAAUGAAAACCACACAGAUGAAGUCAGUGUAACCAAGAAGUGCAAAUCAUGCUAAAAUAAAUCAAACAAGACCUGAGCAGAAAUAACAAAAGGAACCUGACCGUGUGAGUUACUUACAACUGACAAAAGCAAUUCUCAAAUAAGCAAGAGUUUUUGAAGUUUUCCCAAACGGGAACAUAAGCAAUAAAACUGAUGGAAAUUUUCAUUUAGUUAAGGAAACCUAUCUGUUAUCCUACAUUCAGUUAAGGGAAGUUAGCCAACCCUCAGACCGUGUGGCCAGUAGUACUACAAUCCACUCUUUGAAUUUGAGUCACUGACUUGGUACCCCCGUCAUGCCGAUUUUGAAAGGAAUUUGACCAAUUGAGAUGAGAAGUGAUAUGAUGUGGUAAAGAUUUUACCUUUACUGUUUUUCGUUGACUAUUUCCUUACUUUAAUUCACUAUUUGUAUUUGUU